This 73-nucleotide transfer RNA is filed under the name Pseudomonadota bacterium. Its description in RNAcentral is "tRNA-Ala". It matches the Rfam family "tRNA". From Rfam's summary of the family: Transfer RNA (tRNA) molecules are approximately 80 nucleotides in length. Their secondary structure includes four short double-helical elements and three loops (D, anti-codon, and T loops). Further hydrogen bonds mediate the characteristic L-shaped molecular structure. tRNAs have two regions of fundamental functional importance: the anti-codon, which is responsible for specific mRNA codon recognition, and the 3' end, to which the tRNAs corresponding amino acid is attached (by aminoacyl-tRNA synthetases). tRNAs cope with the degeneracy of the genetic code in two manners: having more than one tRNA (with a specific anti-codon) for a particular amino acid; and 'wobble' base-pairing, i.e. permitting non-standard base-pairing at the 3rd anti-codon position. The record is from RNAcentral. RNAcentral also lists the same sequence under 2 other names. Lineage: Bacteria; Pseudomonadati; Pseudomonadota.
GGGGCUGUAGCUCAGCUGGGAGAGCACUACGCUGGCAGCGUAGGGGUCAGGGGUUCAAAUCCCCUCAGCUCCA